This 253-nucleotide ribosomal RNA is filed under the name uncultured bacterium. Its description in RNAcentral is "partial 16S ribosomal RNA". It matches the Rfam family "Bacterial small subunit ribosomal RNA", at positions 524 to 776 of the family's 1533-position model. The record is from RNAcentral.
UACGAAGGGGGCGAGCGUUGUUCGGAAUUACUGGGCGUAAAGGGCGCGCAGGCGGCCUUAGAAGUCAGAUGUGAAAGCCCCGGGCUCAACCUGGGAAUGGCAUUUGAUACUCUGAGGCUGGAGUACGGGAGAGGAGAGUGGAAUUCCCAGUGUAGAGGUGAAAUUUGUAGAUAUUGGGAAGAACACCGGUGGCGAAGGCGGCUCUCUGGACCGUAACUGACGCUGAGGCGCGAAAGCGUGGGGAGCAAACAGG